UAAUGCCGGAUGCUCCAGUUGAUCGCAUGGUCUUCUGGGAAAGCUUUCGCGGUAUGGGAUGGGGUCGCGUCCUAUCAGCUUGACGGCGGGGUAACGGCCCACCGUGGCUUCGACGGGUAGCCGGCCUGAGAGGGCGACCGGCCACAUUGGGACUGAGAUACGGCCCAGACUCCUACGGGAGGCAGCAGUGGGGAAUAUUGCACAAUGGGCGCAAGCCUGAUGCAGCGACGCCGCGUGAGGGAUGGAGGCCUUCGGGUUGUAAACCUCUUUUAUCGGGGAGCAAGCGAGAGUGAGUUUACCCGUUGAAUAAGCACCGGCUAACUACGUGCCAGCAGCCGCGGUAAUACGUAGGGUGCAAGCGUUAUCCGGAAUUAUUGGGCGUAAAGGGCUCGUAGGCGGUUCGUCGCGUCCGGUGUGAAAGUCCAUCGCUUAACGGUGGAUCCGCGCCGGGUACGGGCGGGCUUGAGUGCGGUAGGGGAGACUGGAAUUCCCGGUGUAACGGUGGAAUGUGUAGAUAUC
RNAcentral lists this ribosomal RNA (519 nucleotides) under Bifidobacterium longum subsp. suillum. RNAcentral's name for it is "bacterial SSU rRNA". It matches the Rfam family "Bacterial small subunit ribosomal RNA", at positions 164 to 698 of the family's 1533-position model. Lineage: Bacteria; Bacillati; Actinomycetota; Actinomycetes; Bifidobacteriales; Bifidobacteriaceae. The record is from RNAcentral.